UCCAAGUAUGAUUCGGGAUCAUUUCUGCCUUGGAAUGUAAGAAUGGUCAUUUUGAUGCUUUUGAUAUUGUCAUCAACUCUAUCUCUAUUCCUUCUCCUCUUACUUCCUUGGGAUAUUUCAGAUUGAACCUCUUCAUCAUAUUCAUGUCUACUUGCAUUCCUUUGCAAAUUUUCUUCGAGUUGAUCCAGACGCUCCAUCACCGUCUCCAUUGUUUGAUUGAAUUAUCUCAACAAUUGUUGUCUCUAAGCCUUUUGUUCAAAGCUUUCUUGUGGUGCCUCCAUUUCUGUUGUAUCCAUAGGAAAUGAAAAGUUUAAAUCCUCACACCCUUGUUUCCCUUCCUAAAAUGUCACUCCCCAAAUGUAACUCUC
RNAcentral lists this long non-coding RNA (368 nucleotides) under Carica papaya (papaya). RNAcentral describes it as "long non-coding RNA (CPAP_LNC004005)". The record is from RNAcentral. Lineage: Eukaryota; Viridiplantae; Streptophyta; Magnoliopsida; Brassicales; Caricaceae.